Molecule: ribosomal RNA, 307 nt
Organism: Toxoplasma gondii ME49
Lineage: Eukaryota; Apicomplexa; Conoidasida; Eucoccidiorida; Sarcocystidae
Source: RefSeq, a predicted model, not a curated record
CACAUUUUGCGCUCAAAUCCCGAUGAACGCGACUCUAUAAAAGCGUACCGUACGUGGAACAAAAAACGCAGGGGAAGGACGGGAUUCUCACCCUCUAUGAUGUUCUUUCCCAAGAAACUUAACCCUGCGCUUCCACUGGUAACGCCUCUCGAGGCUACAAGUCAACAGCUCGGAAAGAGCAGUUGAUUUCCACUUUGAGCUGAUCCCGGUUCACUCGCCGUUACUAAGGGAAUCAUAGUUAUUUUCUUCUCCUCCGCUUAAUAAUAUGCUUAAGUUCAGCGGGUAACCUCGCCUGAUUUCAGGUCUG